UGAGGGCGCCCUACACCCAUGCCCUACUGGCUCUGUUCCAGAGGAAGGAAACGGCGUCAUACUGCCCCUUGUAUGACCAAGCUGGACUCAGCAAGAGGCCAUAGGUGAAAAUGCAGCCUUAGUAUCAGUCGAAGACCCAGGACUGAAGAAAUCAUGCAAAGAAGAUAAGUGUUGGCACCAUGAAGAGAGCAUAUAAGAGGUUACUAGUGAAAGUGCAGGCAAGGUCAACUAGAAGUCUCUAUCAUUUCGGAGAUGCCAAUACUGUGGGAUGACCACCAAGUACAGCAGCAGCAGAAGUUGUGUGCCAGAAUCUGUGAAAGUGAAGCCUGGGUCACCUUGGAGACCUCAAGUUGUUAGAGACCCCAGAGCAAUGGGACACCUGCCAAGGAAAGUUGCUAAUAGGGAAUGGAUCCAGCCCAAGAGAAAAGAAUUGUGUUGCAGUCAACGAAGUGGAAGAUAGUUGGAAAUCGGAAGAGCACUUUGACAUCAGACAUGUAGACACAGAAUUUGAAUUCUCCCAGCUGGUUUUUAGCCUUGCUUUGAAAUUGUCUUUUACCACAUGACAAGUCCGUUAUGCACCUUCGCCUGCACUGUGCCAUCGAACAGUCUAUCUGUGAGGCUUAAUGAAGACAAGAAUUCUAUAAAGGGUGAUUAUGAGGAUGCACUGACUCUUUCCAUCAAAUAUCUUCUAGUUUCAAAGUAUCAAGUAUUCACACAUCUUUUAAAGCUUUAGGAACUGGAAUUCACAGAGAAAAUAUGAACUGACAUUUAAAUAAAUGAGCAUUCAUCUCUUGUAUGGAAGAUAAACUUCAGAA
Molecule: small RNA, 815 nt
Filed under: Rattus norvegicus (Norway rat)
Lineage: Eukaryota; Metazoa; Chordata; Mammalia; Rodentia; Muridae
Description: uncharacterized LOC102556444
Source: RNAcentral